CCUACGGGAGGCUGCAGUGAGGAAUAUUGGUCAAUGGGCGUAAGCCUGAACCAGCCAAGUCGCGUGAGGGAUGAAGGUUCUAUGGAUCGUAAACCUCUUUUAUAAGGGAAUAAAGUGUGGGACGUGUCCUAUUUUGUAUGUACCUUAUGAAUAAGGAUCGGCUAACUCCGUGCCAGCAGCCGCGGUAAUACGGAGGAUCCGAGCGUUAUCCGGAUUUAUUGGGUUUAAAGGGUGCGUAGGCGGCCUUUUAAGUCAGCGGUGAAAGUCGGUGGGUCAACCAUCGCAUUGCCGUUGAAACUGGGGGGCUUGAGUAUGUUAGAGGCAGGCGGAAUGCGUGGUGUAGCGGUGAAAUGCUUAGAUAUCACGCAGAACCCCGAUUGCGAAGGCAGCCUGCCGGGCCAUGACUGACGCUGAUGCACGAAAGCGUGGGGAUCAAACAGGAUUAGAUACCCUAGUAGUC
RNAcentral lists this ribosomal RNA (460 nucleotides) under uncultured bacterium. Its description in RNAcentral is "partial 16S ribosomal RNA". It matches the Rfam family "Bacterial small subunit ribosomal RNA", at positions 338 to 795 of the family's 1533-position model. The record is from RNAcentral.